Long non-coding RNA from Morus notabilis, 303 nucleotides. RefSeq lists it as uncharacterized. The transcript has 2 exons. The record is from RefSeq and is a predicted model, not a curated record. Lineage: Eukaryota; Viridiplantae; Streptophyta; Magnoliopsida; Rosales; Moraceae.
CCUGAUGAAUAUGAAGAAACUUAAGCGCAAGAGAACAUAGUGAAGUGGCAGGGAAUGUUGAGAAAAAGAAGUGGGAGCUGGAACUUUUGGCAAGGGGAGAAGCAUUUGCAAGCGAUACAAGCUGACGGAUUUGCUGGUUCUGGUCUUAUUGUGAACCUCAACUUAGAGGGCAAAUUUCUUCGCAGCUAUCUCCGGAGCCAUAUUAGAUCUUUCAUCAGUGGUUUCAGAAUGCUUUUUAAAUUUUUAUUUCCCGUUUAGUACUUAAAUCUAAAACCAUCCAUCGUAUUUGAGCAAAAAAAAAAA